RNAcentral lists this ribosomal RNA (498 nucleotides) under uncultured bacterium. RNAcentral's name for it is "bacterial SSU rRNA". It matches the Rfam family "Bacterial small subunit ribosomal RNA", at positions 23 to 507 of the family's 1533-position model. The record is from RNAcentral.
CUCAGGAUGAACGCUAGCUACAGGCUUUAACACAUGCAAGUCGAGGGGAAACGAUAUUGGAAGCUUGCUUUUUCUAGGCGUCGACCGGCGCACGGGUGAGUAACGCGUAUCCAACCUGCCCUUUACGCGGGGAUAGCCUUCUGAAAGGAAGUUUAAUACCCGAUGAAUUCGUUUAGUCGCAUGGCUUGAUGAAGAAAGAUUUAUCAGUAAAGGAUGGGGAUGCGUCCCAUUAGCUGGUUGGUGGGGUAACGGCCCACCAAGGCGACGAUCAGUAGGGGUUCUGAGAGGAAGGGCCCCCACAUUGGAACUGAGACACGGUCCAAACUCCUACGGGAGGCAGCAGUGAGGAAUAUUGGUCAAUGGACGAGAGUCUGAACCAGCCAAGUAGCGUGCAGGAUGACGGCCCUAUGGGUUGUAAACUGCUUUUAUAAGGGAAUAAAGUGAGUCUCGUGAGGCUUUUUGCAUGUACCUUAUGAAUAAGGACCGGCUAAUUCCGUG